RNAcentral lists this ribosomal RNA (253 nucleotides) under uncultured bacterium. RNAcentral's name for it is "partial 16S ribosomal RNA". It matches the Rfam family "Bacterial small subunit ribosomal RNA", at positions 524 to 776 of the family's 1533-position model. The record is from RNAcentral.
UACGGGGGGGGCAAGCGUUGUUCGGAAUUAUUGGGCGUAAAGAGCUCGUAGGCGGUUUGUCGCGUCGAAUGUGAAAACCCGGGGCUCAACCCCGGGCCUGCAUUCGAUACGGGCAGACUAGAGUUCGGUAGGGGAGUCUGGAAUUCCUGGUGUAGCGGUGAAAUGCGCAGAUAUCAGGAGGAACACCGGUGGCGAAGGCGGGUCUCUGGGCCGUAACUGACGCUGAGGAGCGAAAGCAUGGGGAGUGAACAGG